This 274-nucleotide ribosomal RNA is filed under the name uncultured bacterium. RNAcentral's name for it is "partial 16S ribosomal RNA". It matches the Rfam family "Bacterial small subunit ribosomal RNA", at positions 523 to 796 of the family's 1533-position model. The record is from RNAcentral.
AUACGGAGGAUGCAAGCGUUAUCCGGAUUUAUUAGGUUUAAAGGGUGUGUAGGCGGUAUUUUAAGUCAGUGGUGAAAUCUCGGAGCUUAACUUCGAAACUGCCAUUGAUACUGAAAUACUUGAGUAUAGUUGAGGUAGGCGGAAUAUGUAAUGUAGCGGUGAAAUGCAUAGAUAUUACAUAGAACACCGAUUGCGAAGGCAGCUUACUAAACUAUUACUGACGCUGAUGCACGAAAGCGUGGGGAGCGAACAGGAUUAGAAACCCUAGUAGUCC